This 67-nucleotide transfer RNA is filed under the name Xanthostigma gobicola. RNAcentral describes it as "tRNA-Trp". Lineage: Eukaryota; Metazoa; Arthropoda; Insecta; Raphidioptera; Raphidiidae. The record is from RNAcentral.
AAGGCUUUAAGUUAAACUAAACUAAUAACCUUCAAAGCUAAUAAUAAAGAAAAUUCUUUAAGCCUUA